This 87-nucleotide transfer RNA is filed under the name Sphingomonas sp. RNAcentral's name for it is "tRNA-Ala". Lineage: Bacteria; Pseudomonadati; Pseudomonadota; Alphaproteobacteria; Sphingomonadales; Sphingomonadaceae. The record is from RNAcentral.
GGGAGAAUCAUCGAAAAACCAACAUUAUCGGUGUAUUCCACUGCAGUGGCAUUGCAGAGGUCAGGGGUUCGAUCCCCCUCGGCUCCA